UGCUUUGCUAGGUCCCCUAGUGAAGGGCUGGGCAGCAGGAGCACGAGAAGUUCUCACCGCCUGGGAGUUACUCGGUCUGGGUCCAUGGGUAGGCGUGCUAGGGGACAGAGACGCCACAACCUCCUGCGCCUUCCCUGUCAGCUUGCACUGGAGUAGCAAAGGCCAGACCUCUUUAGGCCAGUGAAGUGCCCCUGCUACUCGCUCGAAGGCGGAGAAAUGAGAGUCCACCUCUGACUCACGGAAUGGAGGUCAGCUUCAAGACGGGCUACACGAAGCCGGAGCCUAGCGGUCUCCACCGACCUACCAGACUCUUCAGGAGACGGCUGAAACUUGGGCAGGGUUAGAGGCACCCGGGACUCAACCCCCACACCACCCUCC
Gasterosteus aculeatus aculeatus (three-spined stickleback) is the source of this 378-nucleotide non-coding RNA. Lineage: Eukaryota; Metazoa; Chordata; Actinopteri; Perciformes; Gasterosteidae. The record is from RefSeq and is a predicted model, not a curated record.